This 37-nucleotide ribosomal RNA is filed under the name Diutina catenulata. Its description in RNAcentral is "partial 28S ribosomal RNA". Lineage: Eukaryota; Fungi; Ascomycota; Pichiomycetes; Serinales; Debaryomycetaceae. The record is from RNAcentral.
UUUCCCUCACACACGUAAGACUACCCGCUGAACUUAA